RNAcentral lists this ribosomal RNA (468 nucleotides) under uncultured bacterium. RNAcentral's name for it is "partial 16S ribosomal RNA". It matches the Rfam family "Bacterial small subunit ribosomal RNA", at positions 28 to 507 of the family's 1533-position model. The record is from RNAcentral.
GACGAACGCUGGCGGCGUGCUUAACACAUGCAAGUCGAACGGAAAGGCCCUGCUUUUGUGGGGUGCUCGAGUGGCGAACGGGUGAGUAACACGUGAGUAACCUGCCCUUGACUUUGGGAUAACUUCAGGAAACUGGGGCUAAUACCGGAUAGGAGCUCCUGCUGCAUGGUGGGGGUUGGAAAGUUUCGGCGGUUGGGGAUGGACUCGCGGCUUAUCAGCUUGUUGGUGGGGUAGUGGCUUACCAAGGCUUUGACGGGUAGCCGGCCUGAGAGGGUGGCCGGCCACAUUGGGACUGAGAGACGGCCCAGACUCCUACGGGAGGCAGCAGUGGGGAAUAUUGCACAAUGGGCGGAAGCCUGAUGCAGCAACGCCGCGUGCGGGAUGACGGCCUUCGGGUUGUAAACCGCUUUCGCAUGUGACGAAGCGUGAGUGACGGUAAUGGGUAAAGAAGCACCGGCUAACUACGUG